RNAcentral lists this ribosomal RNA (253 nucleotides) under uncultured bacterium. RNAcentral describes it as "partial 16S ribosomal RNA". It matches the Rfam family "Bacterial small subunit ribosomal RNA", at positions 524 to 776 of the family's 1533-position model. The record is from RNAcentral.
UACGGGGGGAGCAAGCGUUGUUCGGAUUUACUGGGCGUAAAGGGUGCGCAGGCGGCUUUGCAAGACAGAUGUGAAAUCCCCGGGCUCAACCUGGGAACUGCAUUUGUGACUGCAAGGCUAGAGUACGGCAGAGGGGGAUGGAAUUCCGCGUGUAGCAGUGAAAUGCGUAGAUAUGCGGAGGAACACCAAUGGCGAAGGCAAUCCCCUGGGCCUGUACUGACGCUCAUGCACGAAAGCGUGGGGAGCAAACAGG